Long non-coding RNA from Micropterus salmoides (largemouth bass), 735 nucleotides. RefSeq lists it as uncharacterized. The transcript is spliced from 2 exons. NCBI's taxonomy places the organism in Eukaryota, Metazoa, Chordata, Actinopteri, Centrarchiformes, Centrarchidae. The record is from RefSeq and is a predicted model, not a curated record.
GCUGGAUCAGCUUCAGCACUUCCUGACCGAGGCUCGGGCCACACCAUCAAUACUCCAGUCCAGGAGGUCAUGAGCAAGCUAUCAAAGAUCCUCUGCUUCAGCAUCCCUUCUUUGCCCUCAUCCAUGUGUCUUCUGGGUGAUCUGUCUACACUUAAAGUCACACAGCAGUUCACACCAGCCAAGAAGACUAUAUUACUUCACUGGAAGAACAGAAGCCAUUUAUCCACCAAACACUGGCUUUAUUUGCUAACUGAACUUUCCAGUUUAGAAAACCUCACAGCUGUCUCCCAGGACGAAAUUAAAAAUUUUGAAGACACAAAAUUAUCUGAUUUUUUUCAGUAUGUUAUGAGCCCCUCUUGAUAGUGUUUGUACUUUGAGUUUUACUUUGUCAGUUUUUUUUUGUUUUGUACUAUCUUUGUAAUUUUUUGUUAUGUUUGUUGUAUGUUAUCUUUGUCUUGAUGUUGUUUUCACAAAGUGUUAAGUGAAGAGAAAAAUAAAUAAAUAUAAUAUAUAAGUAUUAUAAAUAAAUCCUUAUCAAAUAUGUUUUGCCGAUUCAUAGUCUAUUUGCCUUAAUGUGCAUAUAUUGAAGCUUUCUAGCACUUGCAUUUCAGACUUUAACUAAAAAAUUUGAAUAAGAAAACAUGGCGCACACUAUUUCCUGUUGAUUUAAUAUAAAUGCUCUGAUGCCAACAAUUGACGUAGAUUGUGUAAUAAAAUUAAAAAAUACUUCAACAA